This is a long non-coding RNA of Hevea brasiliensis (rubber tree), 3916 nucleotides long. RefSeq lists it as uncharacterized. Lineage: Eukaryota; Viridiplantae; Streptophyta; Magnoliopsida; Malpighiales; Euphorbiaceae. The transcript has 3 exons. The record is from RefSeq and is a predicted model, not a curated record.
UAUCUGUCCAAAUACAAAUAUAAAUUCACACUUUCUGAAACCCUAUCUCAUCCUUUUCUCCCCCUUUUUCUCUCUCUGUUAGCAGUUCCUAAUCUCAUCUCUUCUCCCUUCUGUUCUUUCUUUCUUGGCUACCUCUCUUUUUUGCUUCUUUUUUAUCAAUAGCCUAUCUCAUUCAAGUCCUUUAGUUAUGAAUCAAUAAAAAAGAACAUAGCAGAAUGUUAGAAUCAAGGCAUCAAAAACAACAUUGAUUUCAAGUGCUUUUCUUUUAUCUUCUCCUACUAUCCCAAUAGUCCUCCUUACUCGUUUUUAUCUUUUAAAAACCCUAUAGAUACAAGAAAACCAAACGGAAGAAUAUGUCUAACCUUCUUACUCUUUUUUAUCUUUUAAAAAGCCUAUAGAUACAAGAAAACCAAAAGGAAGAAUAUGUCUAACCAGUUUCUUCCCCUACUACCCCCUCCACCUCCACCACCAUCAUCACCACCAAGUGGGUGUUCAGGUCCACCAUCACUAAGUUUUGGCAUCUUGGUUCGUUCAUAUAUAGGAGCCUUCACGAUUGUUGGUGCCUCAUGGGUUAUGGUUUGAGUUUGGCUUGAGCGGGUGAGAACCGACUAAUGUUCACCCUUACUCCAAUGGACUCCACUCAACGAGAGCUUUGAAAUGGGACUAACUUGCUUCGAUCGAGCACUAGAUAAAAGAGAUAAUCAUCAGUUGGUCAAGAUCGAUAGGUACAUUCACAUAAACAGUACCCUUUUAAAGGUGGGACUGCAUUUUCAGCCAAUCUAGAGUGCCCAAUGGAUCAUCCCAAAAGGUAGCCAAUUUUAUACUAUAUCUUAGCAUUUUCAGACACUCAUGACGCAUUCCUUAUAGUAGAAUCAACAUCAGUAAGUUCGAGCUCCAACUCAAUGGUUUAACUUAAAAACUAGAGUAGUUAAUUAAUAAAAUAUUUCUAACUUAAUAAAAUUAAAUAAAAUGAAUUGAAAGGACUUAUUAACCAUGUAAAAGACUUCCAGGAAUAUUAUUAUAAUUUUCAAAAUCAUGAACAUAAUUAAACAGACUGUAGAGGUAUCAGGGGACCAAAUUAGAGUUUGGAUAAACAUGAAGGUGAGACUUGCAAAGCAAAAAUUUUAAAAUUUUAAUUUAGCCUAGGUUUCAUAUAUCUCAUUCCAAAACCAAUUUCAUGCAAGCUAUUAUAAAAAACACAAAGGUUGCAACACUUGUAAUCUCCAUAAGUCAUCAAACCUAUUUUGCAAUUUAGGAAACUAAAAGGAAACACCUAAGCUAAGUUUAGGAUUACUUACCUAAGAGGCAUUGAAUCACAUUCAAUCACCUAAUCCAAGUAUGUAGGCCGCCAAAUGUAGACCCUCUAGUCCAUCCAUACGAACCCUUGUUAUCAAGAUUCCUAACUCUUGAAUCAAGUCCUCAUCCUUAUGCAUCUCCCAUGGUCAGCCAUCAAGUAUACAUAGAUGAAAAGGUUCAACUUUUGGGUAUUAGGUUUUACGUGGAUAAUUACAAAACAAUUUCUCUUAUUCAAAUUCAAGAGUAACAACUUCUAAUAUCUCUUGAAUUGUUUAGAAGAAAAGAAGAUGGUUAAAUAAUGGAGUCUUGGUUGAGAGAAAGUAUAAGAAGAAGAUGAAGAAAAAAGAGAAAUCCCUAAGUUCCCUUCAAGUGCAUGUGGGUUUCUCCUACUUAUACUUUAGAGAUAUGGGAAUCCCUAAAGUGGGGAGAAAUCCCUAACAUUUAGGCAUUUCAAAUGCCUAAAGUGGGCAAGUGUGGAGAAUAUUCUCCACUUUUUGGGACAACCUCGCCAUUUGUCACAUAUGUUUGUAUUUUGUCUCCCACUAAAGUGUCACAUGACAUCACAUGUCAAGACACAUCAAAUCCCAUUAAGCAUCUUCUUUCUCUCAAUGGCAUGCCCUAUGCAAUAUUUGUCUUGUUUUGGCAUGCCCAUGCUGAUGCUGCAUGCCCCAUGCAACUUUUGCACUGGGUUACAGCAUGCCUGAUGUUGCAUCCUAUCCAACUUUUAGCCACUUUGGUAUUUCUUUCUUUUAACCCAAUUUUUUAAAUUUAAUUUCAGGUCAUGCUAGGGACUUUUGGAAUCUUAUCGCAAAGCUAGAUUCAUUAAUUUAAUUAAUUAAUUAAUUAAAAUAUUUAAUCAAUCAAUUAAAAUAUUCAAGUCUAGAUCUCUUAAGUUCUAUUAUGUGUGACUUCCUAGGUUUAUAACUAAUUGGCAAUGAGAAUGAUAUUAACUCUUCAAUACUACGAAACUCUUUCCAUACCUAAAGUGAAAUUCCUUUUCCACCCUUGAUUCUCAUAAAUCAUGAUUGAUACCUACCAUAGUGUGUCAUGACUACUCAACUAGUGAUGAAUUAAGUUCAUCCCUUACUUAAAAACUUGAUCACACAUACCAUGCACUAAAGUCCAUCCGUUACAAAAUCCUGAUCCUAGCUAAGGCCAUGGUAUAUGUCAAAUCCUAAUCGCUUUAGAUCAUAUGUCCUCAUCUAAAUUUUAAUUCUUGAUUAACAAGACUUUCCAUCAGAAACUAUUUUCUAAUUAAGUCAAUCUUAUAAGUAUCCACUGUUUUUGAUCCGACAUUAAAUGGUAUGAGACUUAACAUUCCACUUUUACUAGUAUCUCAUACUAAUAUGUGGAAAUAAAUAGAGGUGAUAGUUUAGCCAGAUACAUCAUGUCCAAUAAAAUAUCCUUGACUAUGAACUAUUUAUAUCACUAGUAUUGGACAGUUUCAUCACUCAUAUUCUCAACUCUUUGAAAAUGGAACUUCCUAUAAGAAACUAAUGGGCUUAUUCAAUUUAACAUAAGCAUUUUAGGUUAAACUAAACAUAAAAGCUAUUCAAGAAAAUUAGGUUUACAAUACAUAAUACAAAGGUAUUACUAUAGGGCAUACCACUAACAAAAUAAACUUAUAUUAGUAUUUUAUAGCCCCUAGAUGGGUGUUAUGAUAUUAUUAUGGGCUAAGGCCAUUUUGUUAAAUUUACUUUGUAGGGGGAUAGGUGUAGGGACAAGGAAGACUUUAUUAAAUUUUCUACAGAUCCCUAAAGUUAUAAUUUUAUUUAUAUAAUUACGAUUAGAUAAUGAUCAACGUUUAGUAAAUUAGUGUGUUUGUAUAGGUCAGCUGAAUUGAACAUAUACCAGUUCUAACCAGGCUAGUAAUUAUGGGUUAACCAAUCUGUAAGUAGAAUCUACAUAAAUUAUUUUUAAAUAAAUAUUUAAAUUGCUUUAUUUUAUUUCAUGCACUCCUAAGCAUCAUGAUAUAAAUACGAUUUUAUUUUGAAUGCGUAUUUAUACAUAAUAGUAUUUUUAUUGCAUAAAUCAUGAAGAUGCUGCAUUAUUACUUUUGAUGUGUCGAUAAUUCAUGAAUGAACCAUUGGUUCCUAAUGCGAAAGUAAAGGAAAGGAGAGGAAACGAAAGGCAAGCAUGCAUAAUGAGCUCACUAAUGUUAAAGUUAUAGGAUGUAUGGGUAAGUGAAUUCUUUAUCUUCUGCAUCCACUAUGUAAUUUAUGUAUGAAAAUUAAAGAGAAGUCUAGUCAUAUGCAAAUCAAUGCUCUCAGUUCCAUGGACAAUAAAAGUUAACGAAAUGGGAUGGGGGAACUACUGGUGACAUGACCACCUUGAUGUGAGUUGAUUGUUCUAUGUAAAACUCAUAUACAUGAUGCAUUUCAUGUGCUUGAAUUAUUUUAUUUAAAUGUAUUUUUUUUCAAUAAGUAGACUUUUAUUCAUUAAGCCCCUAGCCUGUUCCCCUUCUUUUAUCUUCCUUUUAGGAACAAGUUUAGAGGAUUUUGAAUUGCAGACAACAAAUUUUGCAUAUUGGGUUCUAGAGGUUUGUCUGCCUUAAUUUUGCUCAUAAUGUUUACAUUGCUUUUGUCGAAUUUUGUUUUUGUAUGACAUAUAAUUUUGGUAU